This 246-nucleotide non-coding RNA is filed under the name Acidaminococcus intestini. RNAcentral describes it as "T-box sequence". It matches the Rfam family "T-box leader". Rfam says of the family: Uncharged tRNA acts as the effector for transcription antitermination of genes in the T-box leader family. Lineage: Bacteria; Bacillati; Bacillota; Negativicutes; Acidaminococcales; Acidaminococcaceae. The record is from RNAcentral.
AAAAAUCUAACGAUGGGAAAGAGUAACGGGCGUGACCGCUCCAGAGAGCCGGCGGUUGGUGCGAGCCGGUGUUGGGACCGCUUGUGAAAAUCCUCCCUGAAGAGAAGUGCUGAAGCUUUGGCGGUAAGUGCUGACGGCCGUUCCCCGUUAUAGGAAACGCGUAUGUUGGUACGUUUGAGAGCGUCUGGAUCUCGUAAGAGGCCAGGAAUCAGGGUGGUAACGCGGACUUUUGAAUCCGUCCCUUAA